RNAcentral lists this ribosomal RNA (1328 nucleotides) under Bacillus subtilis. RNAcentral's name for it is "bacterial SSU rRNA". It matches the Rfam family "Bacterial small subunit ribosomal RNA", at positions 36 to 1347 of the family's 1533-position model. The record is from RNAcentral. Lineage: Bacteria; Bacillati; Bacillota; Bacilli; Caryophanales; Bacillaceae.
CUGGCGGCGUGCCUAAUACAUGCAAGUCGAGCGGACAGAUGGGAGCUUGCUCCCUGAUGUUAGCGGCGGACGGGUGAGUAACACGUGGGUAACCUGCCUGUAAGACUGGGAUAACUCCGGGAAACCGGGGCUAAUACCGGAUGCUUGUUUGAACCGCAUGGUUCAAACAUAAAAGGUGGCUUCGGCUACCACUUACAGAUGGACCCGCGGCGCAUUAGCUAGUUGGUGAGGUAACGGCUCACCAAGGCAACGAUGCGUAGCCGACCUGAGAGGGUGAUCGGCCACACUGGGACUGAGACACGGCCCAGACUCCUACGGGAGGCAGCAGUAGGGAAUCUUCCGCAAUGGACGAAAGUCUGACGGAGCAACGCCGCGUGAGUGAUGAAGGUUUUCGGAUCGUAAAGCUCUGUUGUUAGGGAAGAACAAGUACCGUUCGAAUAGGGCGGUACCUUGACGGUACCUAACCAGAAAGCCACGGCUAACUACGUGCCAGCAGCCGCGGUAAUACGUAGGUGGCAAGCGUUGUCCGGAAUUAUUGGGCGUAAAGGGCUCGCAGGCGGUUUCUUAAGUCUGAUGUGAAAGCCCCCGGCUCAACCGGGGAGGGUCAUUGGAAACUGGGGAACUUGAGUGCAGAAGAGGAGAGUGGAAUUCCACGUGUAGCGGUGAAAUGCGUAGAGAUGUGGAGGAACACCAGUGGCGAAGGCGACUCUCUGGUCUGUAACUGACGCUGAGGAGCGAAAGCGUGGGGAGCGAACAGGAUUAGAUACCCUGGUAGUCCACGCCGUAAACGAUGAGUGCUAAGUGUUAGGGGGUUUCCGCCCCUUAGUGCUGCAGCUAACGCAUUAAGCACUCCGCCUGGGGAGUACGGUCGCAAGACUGAAACUCAAAGGAAUUGACGGGGGCCCGCACAAGCGGUGGAGCAUGUGGUUUAAUUCGAAGCAACGCGAAGAACCUUACCAGGUCUUGACAUCCUCUGACAAUCCUAGAGAUAGGACGUCCCCUUCGGGGGCAGAGUGACAGGUGGUGCAUGGUUGUCGUCAGCUCGUGUCGUGAGAUGUUGGGUUAAGUCCCGCAACGAGCGCAACCCUUGAUCUUAGUUGCCAGCAUUCAGUUGGGCACUCUAAGGUGACUGCCGGUGACAAACCGGAGGAAGGUGGGGAUGACGUCAAAUCAUCAUGCCCCUUAUGACCUGGGCUACACACGUGCUACAAUGGACAGAACAAAGGGCAGCGAAACCGCGAGGUUAAGCCAAUCCCACAAAUCUGUUCUCAGUUCGGAUCGCAGUCUGCAACUCGACUGCGUGAAGCUGGAAUCGCUAGUAAUCGCGG